GACGAACGCUGGCGGCGUGCUUAACACAUGCAAGUCGAACGGAAAGGCCCUGCUUGCGGGGUACUCGAGUGGCGAACGGGUAAGUAACACGUGGGUGGUCUGCCCUGCACUUCGGGAUAAGCUUGUGAAACCGGGUCUAAUACCGGAUAGGACCGCACUUUAGUGUGUGUGGUGGAAAGUUUUUUCGGUGUAGGAUGAGCUCGCGGCCUAUCAGCUUGUUGGUGGGGUAAUGGACUACCAAGGGGGCGACGGGUAGCCGGCCGGAGAGGGUGUACGGCCACAUUGGGAGUGAGAUACAGCCCAGACACCUACGGGAGGCAGCAGGGGGGAAUAUUGCACAAUGGGCGCAAGCCUGAUGCAGCGACGCCGCGUGGGGGAUGAAGGCCUUCGGGUUGUAAGCUCCUUUCGCUAGGGACGAAGCUUUUUGUGACGGUACCUAGAUAAGAAGCACCGGCUAACUACGUG
Molecule: ribosomal RNA, 465 nt
Filed under: uncultured bacterium
Lineage: Bacteria
Description: partial 16S ribosomal RNA
Rfam family: Bacterial small subunit ribosomal RNA
Source: RNAcentral